GUUUUGAAUUUCACGCUUCAGCACAGCAGCGCGCCUCCAAGGUUCCUCCAACUCCAAGUUUCCAACUCCACGCCAUUCCACCGUUCCACCGUUCACCGGCAUCGCGCGCCUGUCGUUCGCCUCUGCGCGUCUCUGCAGGCUGCAACAGCGUUCGCCUCUGCUGCUCUGCAUCUGUCGUGAUUCUCUCCGAUUUCCCGAGCUCCUCGCAGAGAGAUCUCGUUCACGGCAGUCGGCACCACCAGGCACCAGCCGCACCAGGUCCGGCAGACCGCCACCACUCCGGCCGCCGGCUUCUGAGUUCUGAACCUGCUCGCCAUCACCAUCAAUCAUUCAUAACUCAUAAGUAAUCUCUUCAUCCUUAUGCAGUAUUAUUCAUCCUUAGUCCUUAAUAUUUAUUCAUAGAUUAUUUACUCAAUUUUUUUUUUCUAUUUCGGAUGAGUUUGAAUUAGCAGUCCAUUUUUUUGCCCUUCGAUUAGGCCUACUAAUUUUGGCAGUGGCCUCAUAUAUUCAUAAUAUGGUGUCGUUUUGUAUGAGAUGAGUGGACUUGCAACAUUAUUAUAGAUUUAUAGGUAGUUUCUUGAGUUGAAAUAUUUAUGCAUGAAACGAAGGAGAUGUAAUUGUGUUCUGCUGAGCUCUUCCAUUCUAUAAUUCUCAAUGG
Molecule: long non-coding RNA, 658 nt
Filed under: Salvia miltiorrhiza (redroot sage)
Lineage: Eukaryota; Viridiplantae; Streptophyta; Magnoliopsida; Lamiales; Lamiaceae
Description: long non-coding RNA (SMIL_LNC013122)
Source: RNAcentral